GACGAACGCUGGCGGCGUGCUUAACACAUGCAAGUCGAACGGUAAGGCCCUUCGGGGUACACGAGUGGCGAACGGGUGAGUAACACGUGGGUGAUCUGCCCUGCACUUCGGGAUAAGCCUGGGAAACUGGGUCUAAUACCGGAUAGGACUCCUGGCUUCAUGGUUGGGGGUGGAAAGCUUUUGCGGUGUGGGAUGGGCCCGCGGCCUAUCAGCUUGUUGGUGGGGUAAUGGCCUACCAAGGCGACGACGGGUAGCCGGCCUGGGAGGGUGACCGGUCACACUGGGACUGAGAUACGGCCCAGACUCCUACGGGAGGCAGCAGUGGGGAAUAUUGCACAAUGGGCGCAAGCCUGAUGCAGCGACGCCGCGUGAGGGAUGACGGCCUUCGGGUUGUAAACCUCUUUCAGUAGGGACGAAGCGCAAGUGACGGUACCUACAGAAGAAGGACCGGCCAACUACGUGCCAGCAGCCGCCGUAA
This 478-nucleotide ribosomal RNA is filed under the name uncultured bacterium. Its description in RNAcentral is "partial 16S ribosomal RNA". It matches the Rfam family "Bacterial small subunit ribosomal RNA", at positions 28 to 523 of the family's 1533-position model. The record is from RNAcentral.